This is a long non-coding RNA of Myotis myotis, 1997 nucleotides long. RefSeq lists it as uncharacterized. The record is from RefSeq and is a predicted model, not a curated record. The transcript has 5 exons. Lineage: Eukaryota; Metazoa; Chordata; Mammalia; Chiroptera; Vespertilionidae.
CCGCCCCUUAACACUGCACUUCCGGCGGAGGGCGGGGCCUCCAGGCUCAUUAGCAUCCGGUCAGGUUGGGCUGGACGCGGCGCCCCCUGCAGGUACUGAAGUGUACGUCAGCGGGGAGCUGCUGCCUGGUGAGGCGGGAGGGUUGCAAAACGUCACUGGGAUUCCUGUGAACAGGUAGAAGGUGUUGGUUGUGCUUCCAAGAAACUUGACAUCAGGCAAUAAUUGGAGAAGAAAAAGUGAUGCGUUCAGAAGUUUUACUUCCCAAAGAUUAGAAACAACUCCAAUGUUCACCAGCAGCACAGGCGACAUUAUGUUAAUUACAGCUGUGUUUUAUUUAGUUUACCAUGUGCCAGGCACUGGAGAAUGCAUUUGUCAUGUAGUGUCUUGUUAUGUCCUCAAAACAGCCAUAGCGGUUCCAGAGAUUAGAAGUCUAGAAUGAUCCUAGCUACCAGACCAGGAUCAAGGAGUUGGCAGGGCUGCAUUUCUUCUGGAGGCUCCGUGGAAGUAGCUUGCCUCUUCCAGCUUCUCCAAGUCAGUAAUGGCAGUAAAUACGUUGGCUAUAGAGGUCCUUGAAUGUAUAAUUACUGCUCCAUCUGUUCUCAAGACUACAUUUGAAUACAGUAUGUGUGUCUGGACCAUCAAGACAUAAUAGCCCACCCACACUGGAUUAUUCUGAAGCAAAUCCAGGACAUCAUAGUAUUCCAUCUGUAAAUAUUUCACGAUCCUUCGCAUUUAGAGGCAGUAUGCUGAAAUAGCUGAAGACUGAGUAAUGCCUGCAACUAACUCAAAUGGUUCAGCAUCAAGAAAGAAAAAGAAAGCAACUGUGGCAAAAUGUUAACAACUGGUGAAUUGAAGCAAAGGGGACAUGGAUAUUCACAGUAAUAUUCUUGCAAGUUUUCUGAAGGUUUGACAUUUUUCAAAAUAGGAAGUGAGGAAAAAUUAGUAGCAGCUAUGCAUCAAUGUGCACCUUGACUUAUAGAAUAGAGCCAUUCUAAGAUAUAUGUAAAGGGAAAUUUUGUAGAUUAAAUCUUCUGUAUACUCCUUCAGUGGACCUCUAACUUUAGUGUGCAAAAUUAGCUAGAGAGGGCUUGUAAAACCAGAUGGCUGGGUCCCACCUGCAGAAUUCUGAUCCAUUAGGACUAAAGUGGGGCUGAGAAUCCACAUUUCUUAUCUAUUCCCAAGUGAUGCUGGUACCGCUGGUCCAGGGACCACACUUUGAGAACCAGUGUCCCACAGUAUGAGCUUUCUAAAGGAACUGGAUUAAAACCUGCCACUCAGGGAACCAAACUUGAAAGGUGUUAAUGAGCUAUUCGUACUAAAAACACAUAAAACCAAAUAAGCAUUAGGCCUAAAUGAGCAGAUCUAUGGCAGAUUUGAAGUGUGGCCUGUAGGGGCACUAAGCAGAAAGAAUUUUAAUGAGGUGUUUAAAGGGAGGAGAGUGUUGUAUGAGCAUGAGUAUGAGAUUAAUGAUCAUGACAAAACCUUGAAUUCUUGUAAUGGUGGCAAUGGGCUUGUCCCUGACACUGGUUUUCUUGGUGGGCAGUGAUACACUUCCGGGAUGAGCUAGGUUUACAAAACUAACUAGGCUACCGGUUUUUUCUCCAUGUGAUACCAACUGGACUAUGUAAUGACUUAUUCACUCUUUUAUUCAACACCCACUGCAUUGUAAGUAUUGCUCUAGGUAUGGAUGGAUUAGAAAGGUAUAGCCUACAAUUUUUUCACCUCAAAAAAUAAUAGAUCACAGCCAGUUAUAAUUAAUUGAAUUAAUAUGAAAGAUGAAAUGAAAAGGCAAAUUUAAAAUUUCCAAAGGUCUUCUUUAUUAAUAGAGAAACUUACUAAAUAUUAUAGAAGUCUAUUUUAACUCAUAAAUUGAUUAUAUAAAAUUAAAGUGACAAAUGAAUAAGAAAGUUUCUUAGAACCAGUUCACUUAGAUGUUUUAUUCUCUUAAAAAAAUAUUGAUAAUUGUAGAUAGUUUAUAGCAAUGUCCUACCUUAUAC